Molecule: long non-coding RNA, 145 nt
Organism: Cervus elaphus (red deer)
Lineage: Eukaryota; Metazoa; Chordata; Mammalia; Artiodactyla; Cervidae
Exons: 3
Source: RefSeq, a predicted model, not a curated record
UAAAGAAUCCACCUGCAAUGCUGGAAUCACAGGUUCAGUAUCUGGGUUAGCAAGAUCCCCUGGAGGAGGGCAUGGCAACCCACUCCAGUAUUCUUACCUGGAGAAUCCCAUGGACAGAGGAGCCUGGUGGGCUAUAGUCCAUGGG